GGCUAGUUUAAUGACCAGGUAGUGGCUAGUUUAAUGACCAGGUAGUGGCUAGUUUAAUGACCAGGUAGUGGCUAGUUUAAUGACCAGGUAGUGGCUAGUUUAAUGACCAGGUAGUGGCUAGUUUAAUGACCAGGUGGUGGCUAGUUUAAUGACCAGGUAGUGGCUAGUAUAACAGCAGGUGAGUUUCCCUUAUGACCCUCUACGAUAGACAUUCAGUAGUUCAGCUAGGGAGGUUGCGUCACAAAUGGUACACUAUAUAGUGAACUACCUUUGACAAGGGCCCAUAGGUAGUGCACUAUGUAGGGAAUAGGGUGCAAUUUGGGACCCCAAUAGAUGUCCACAGGACACAGUGGAGAGCCAGUGCAGAACCAGUACCUGAUUAUAGAUAUUGAUUUCGGAUAUACAGGCUAUAAUGUGUGUAUAAACAGGAAUAAACUGAUUACUAAACACAAAUAAACUGCUUACUAAACAGGAAUAAACUGCUUACUAAACAUGAAUAAACUGCUUACUAAACAUGAAUAAACUGCUUACUAAACAUGAAUAAACUGCUUACUAAACAUGAAUAAACUGCUUACUAAACAUGAAUAAACUGCUUACUAAACAUGAAUAAACUGCUUACUAAACAUGAAUAAACUGCUUACUAAACAUGAAUAAACUGCUUACUAAACAUGAAUAAACUGCACACUAAACAGGAAUAAACUGCUUACUAAACAUGAAUAAACUGCUUACUAAACAGGAAUAAACUGCUUACUAAACAGGAAUAAACUACUUACUAAACAUGAAUAAACUGCUUACUAAACAUGAAUAAACUGCUUACUAAACAGGAAUAAACUGCUUACUAAACAGGAAUAAACUACUUACUAAACAUGAAUAAACUGCUUACUAAACAUGAAUAAACUGCUUACUAAACAUGAAUAAACUGCUUACUAAACAUGUAUUAACUUAGAAUUACAUGGUGGAGCAGUUGACUUUAAAGGACACAGAGAGUUACAUAUAAGUCAGAAGUUUACAUACACUUAGGUUGGAGUCAUUAAAACUCGUUAUUCAACCACUCCACAAAUUUCUUGUUAACAAACUAUCAUUUUGGCAAGUCAGUUAGGACAUCUACUUUGUGCUUGACACAAGUCAUUUUCCCAACAAUUGUUUACAGACAGAUUAUUUCACUUAUAAUUCACUGUAUCACAAUUCCAGUGGGUCAGAAGUUUACAUACAAUAAGUUGACUGUGCCUUUAAACAGCCUGGAAAUUCCAAAAAAUGUUCAUAGCUUUAGAAGCUUCUGAUAGGCUAAUUGACAUUAUUUAAGUCAAUUGGAGAUGUACCUGUGGAUGUAUUUCAAGGCCUACCUUCAAACUCAGUGCCUCUUUGCUUGACAUCAUGGGACAAUCUAAAGAAAUCAGCCAAGACCUC
Oncorhynchus keta (chum salmon) is the source of this 1407-nucleotide long non-coding RNA. RefSeq lists it as uncharacterized. The transcript has 2 exons. Lineage: Eukaryota; Metazoa; Chordata; Actinopteri; Salmoniformes; Salmonidae. The record is from RefSeq and is a predicted model, not a curated record.